Molecule: small nucleolar RNA, 135 nt
Filed under: Crocodylus porosus (Australian saltwater crocodile)
Lineage: Eukaryota; Metazoa; Chordata; Crocodylia; Crocodylidae
Description: Small nucleolar RNA SNORA1 (ENSCPRG00005015368.1)
Rfam family: Small nucleolar RNA SNORA1
About the family: ACA1 is a member of the H/ACA class of snoRNA that guide the sites of modification of uridines to pseudouridines.
Source: Rfam by way of RNAcentral
UGCCUCGUUUAAAAAAUUAAAACAGGCACAACUUCUUAGGUGUCUGAAUUAAGCAACGUGGCUAAAGAAAUAACAGGUUAUGCUUCCAUCAUUGUAAAAUUAAUUACAGUGGUGACAAUGAGACCUGUGACAAGC